AUGCAACAUAUGCAGCAAAACCUUGAUCCCCAGGAAGGGACCUCGUCGGCCGCUGUUCACCCUAAGCAGCAAAACCCAAACCCAAGAGGGAAAAACAAGGCAUCAAAUGGAGGGACUCCAUCUGAUGCUGCCAAACAAAAGGGUGCAAACAAGAAGAAGAUGCAGAAAAAUGCAAACCCAAACCCCAGAGCCAAAAACCCUGGACCCAAUCGAGGGCCUUGGCCACAUCAGCCCAAUGCCCACUUUAAACCCAAUAAUGGGCCUGGGCAACAUUGGCAAAAUCCACGGUUUGUGCCAAAACAAGGGCCUGUGCCACAUCAGCCCAAUGCCCACUUUAAACCCAAUAAUGGGCCUGGGCAACAUUGGCAAAAUCCACGGUUUGUGCCAAAACAAGGGCCUGUGCCACAUCAGCCCAAUGCCCACUUUAAACCCAAUAAUGGGCCUGGGCAACAUUGGCAAAAUCCAUGGUUUGUGCCAAAACAAGGGCCUGUGCCACAUCAGCCCCAUCCUGACCAUAACACCAACGAUGGGCCAUCUCAGCCACAGCCUCACUUAACACCAAAUGAUGGCAGUCGUCCAUACAAUGAGACUGAUGAACUGGGUGCGCUGAGAUUCCACCUGCAGGAGGCUCAGAACAUGUGCAAAACCAAUCUAUACAAAAUGACAGCUGCAAACCACAAAGCUGCUGCAGCUAAAACUCAGAAUGAUUGGGUUCGCUUUCAGCUACAGUGCUGCAGAGGAAACGCUCAAAAAACCAUCCUUGAGCUCCAAAAACAGCUGGAAGAGUCUCGUAGAAAGACACCCGAGGAGAACUUCACCCCUGAGGUGAGUGAGGCUCCUGCUGAAGACAGCAACACAGCUGUCACAGCUGCAGAGCUGAGUGUGGACGCUUCAACACAAACUGCAGAAGCUCCACACACAGAUUCUACAGAUGUGAAAACCGAUCGAGAAGCUGAGUUGGAGAUCCAGUGCAAAAAACAGCAAGAAGAGAUCAAACAACUCCGUGAGCAGCUCCUCAAAACUCAAAAGAAUCUAGAAGAGGAAGCUGCAAAGCGUGAAGAUCAGGAACAAAGAGCCAACUGUGAGCUCACUGAGCUGAAAGACAAACUCAGCACCAGUGAGGCUCUUUGUGAAAAAAAUGAUUUGAAGGCACAAAACUUAAAAGAAGAGCUGGAGAAAACCAAAGCUUCCCACCUGGAAAUCGUGGAGAAGCAAAACCUGGGGAACACAACGAUCUGCAACCAACUCAGGCAAGCAGAAGAAGAAAAGAUCUCACUUCUGGAGUUUUUGCAGUAUCUGCAAGAGACAAUGGAAAAGCAAGAAGACCAGUCCAAUGUUGCCCGAGAAGACAAAGUGCCAAAAGAAAAACCAAAAAAGAAAAAGAAGCGCAGUUGGUUUUGGAGACUAUUCACUUAA
This 1416-nucleotide long non-coding RNA is filed under the name Oreochromis niloticus (Nile tilapia). Its description in RNAcentral is "lncRNA (ENSONIG00000041301.1)". Lineage: Eukaryota; Metazoa; Chordata; Actinopteri; Cichliformes; Cichlidae. The record is from RNAcentral.